GACGAACGCUGGCGGCGUGCUUAACACAUGCAAGUCGAACGGAAAGGCCCUGCUUUUGUGGGGUGCUCGAGUGGCGUACGGGUGAGUAACACGUGAGUAACCUGCCCUUGACUUUGGGAUAACUUCAGGAAACUGGGGCUAAUACCGGAUAGGAGCUCCUGCUGCGUGGUGGGGGUUGGAAAGUUUCGGCGGUUGGGGAUGGACUCGCGGCUUAUCAGCUUGUUGGUGGGGUAGUGGCUUACCAAGGCUUUGACGGGUAGCCGGCCUGAGAGGGUGACCGGCCACAUUGGGACUGAGAUACGGCCCAGACUCCUACGGGAGGCAGCAGUGGGGAAUAUUGCACAAUGGGCGGAAGCCUGAUGCAGCAACGCCGCGUGCGGGAUGACGGCCUUCGGGUUGUAAACCGCUUUCGCCUGUGACGAAGCGUGAGUGACGGUAAUGGGUAAAGAAGCACCGGCUAACUACGUG
Molecule: ribosomal RNA, 468 nt
Filed under: uncultured bacterium
Lineage: Bacteria
Description: partial 16S ribosomal RNA
Rfam family: Bacterial small subunit ribosomal RNA
Source: RNAcentral